Molecule: ribosomal RNA, 460 nt
Filed under: uncultured bacterium
Lineage: Bacteria
Description: partial 16S ribosomal RNA
Rfam family: Bacterial small subunit ribosomal RNA
Source: RNAcentral
CCUACGGGAGUCUGCAGUGAGGAAUAUUGGUCAAUGGACGAGAGUCUGAACCAGCCAAGUAGCGUGAAGGAUGACUGCCCUAUGGGUUGUAAACUUCUUUUAUAUGGGAAUAAAACAGGGUAUGCAUACCCUCUUGUAUGUACCAUAUGAAUAAGGAUCGGCUAACUCCGUGCCAGCAGCCGCGGUAAUACGGAGGAUCCGAGCGUUAUCCGGUUUUAUUGGGUUUAAAGGGAGCGUAGGUGGAUUGUUAAGUCAGUUGUGAAAGUUUGCGGCUCAACCGUAAAAUUGCAGUUGAAACUGGCAGUCGUGAGUACAGUAGAGGUGGGCGGAAUUCGUGGUGUAGCGGUGAAAUGCUUAGAUAGCACGAAGAACUCCGAUUGCGAAGGCAGCUCACUGGACUGCAACUGACACUGAUGCUCGAAAGUGUGGGUAUCAAACAGGAUUAGAUACCCCUGUAGUC